Molecule: ribosomal RNA, 436 nt
Filed under: uncultured bacterium
Lineage: Bacteria
Description: bacterial SSU rRNA
Rfam family: Bacterial small subunit ribosomal RNA
Source: RNAcentral
UCGAGAAUCUUCGGCAAUGGGCGCAAGCCUGACCGAGCGACGCCGCGUGGAGGAUGAAGGCCUUCGGGUUGUAAACUCCUGUCGAGGGGGAGGAAGGUCGGUAACGGCUUGACCGAUCCCUGGAGGAAGCACGGGCUAAGUUCGUGCCAGCAGCCGCGGUAAGACGAACCGUGCGAACGUUAUUCGGAAUCACUGGGCUUAAAGCGCGUGUAGGCGGAUGGGGACGUCGGUUGUUGAAAGCCCCCGGCUCAACCGGGGAACUGGCACCGAAACGCCCCGUCUCGAGGGACGUAGGGGGACCUGGAACUUCCGGUGGAGCGGUGAAAUGCGUUGAGAUCGGAAGGAACGCCCGUGGCGAAAGCGAGGUCCUGGACGUCUACUGACGCUGAGACGCGAAAGCUAGGGGAGCGAACGGGAUUAGAUACCCCCGUAGUCC